UAAAAGCUCUUCUAAUUUUUCUCUUCUACUUUUUCUCCCUUCUCUCCUUCUCUUCUACUUUUUCUCCCUUCUCUCAUACCUUUUUUUUUUAAUUUUUUUUU
Molecule: small RNA, 101 nt
Filed under: Arabidopsis thaliana (thale cress)
Lineage: Eukaryota; Viridiplantae; Streptophyta; Magnoliopsida; Brassicales; Brassicaceae
Description: ATSL135820
Source: RNAcentral